This 77-nucleotide transfer RNA is filed under the name Marmota monax (woodchuck). RNAcentral's name for it is "tRNA.Ala". Lineage: Eukaryota; Metazoa; Chordata; Mammalia; Rodentia; Sciuridae. The record is from RNAcentral.
GGGGUUGUGGCUCAGGCUCAGUGGUAGAGCACUCGUCUAGCACAUGCGAAGCCCUGGGUUCGAUCCUCAGCACCCCA